UACGUAGGGUGCAAGCGUUAAUCGGAAUUACUGGGCGUAAAGCGUGCGCAGGCGGCUUUGCAAGACAGAUGUGAAAUCCCUGGGCUCAACCUGGGAACUGCAUUUGUGACUGCAAGGCUGGAGUACGGUAGAGGGGGAUGGAAUUCCGCGUGUAGCAGUGAAAUGCGUAGAUAUGCGGAGGAACACCGAUGGCGAAGGCAAUCCCCUGGACCUGUACUGACGCUCAUGCACGAAAGCGUGGGGAGCAAACAGG
Molecule: ribosomal RNA, 253 nt
Filed under: uncultured bacterium
Lineage: Bacteria
Description: partial 16S ribosomal RNA
Rfam family: Bacterial small subunit ribosomal RNA
Source: RNAcentral